Molecule: long non-coding RNA, 180 nt
Organism: Pipistrellus kuhlii (Kuhl's pipistrelle)
Lineage: Eukaryota; Metazoa; Chordata; Mammalia; Chiroptera; Vespertilionidae
Exons: 2
Source: RefSeq, a predicted model, not a curated record
GCGUCGGCUUGGGGACUGAAGGGUCCCGGGUUCGAUUCCGGUCAAUGGCAUGUACCUUGGUUGCGGGCAUAUCCCCAGUAGGGGGUGUGCAGGAGGCAGCUGAUUGAUGUUUCUCUCUCAUCGAUGUUUCUAAUUAUCCCUCUCCCUUCCUCUCUGUAAAAAAUCAAUACAAAAUAUAUU